GAUGAACGCUGGCGGCGUGCCUAAUACAUGCAAGUCGAGCGAACAGACGAGGAGCUUGCUCCUCUGACGUUAGCGGCGGACGGGUGAGUAACACGUGGAUAACCUACCUAUAAGACUGGGAUAACUUCGGGAAACCGGAGCUAAUACCGGAUAAUAUAUUGAACCGCAUGGUUCAAUAGUGAAAGACGGUUUUGCUGUCACUUAUAGAUGGAUCCGCGCCGCAUUAGCUAGUUGGUAAGGUAACGGCUUACCAAGGGAACGAUGCGUAGCCGACCUGAGAGGGGGAUCGGCCACACUGGAACUGAGACACGGUCCAGACUCCUACGGGAGGCAGCAGUAGGGAAUCUUCCGCAAUGGGCGAAAGCCUGACGGAGCAACGCCGCGUGAGUGAUGAAGGUCUUCGGAUCGUAAAACUCUGUUAUUAGGGAAGAACAAAUGUGUAAGUAACUAUGCACGUCUUGACGGUACCUAAUCAGAAAGCCACGGCUAACUACGUG
This 497-nucleotide ribosomal RNA is filed under the name uncultured bacterium. Its description in RNAcentral is "partial 16S ribosomal RNA". It matches the Rfam family "Bacterial small subunit ribosomal RNA", at positions 28 to 507 of the family's 1533-position model. The record is from RNAcentral.